UUGUUUUUUUCCUUCGUACUUUUCUCGAUUGCCUGGUAUGUUAUUUAAAAAAUGAAGAAAGUGCACAUCAUAAACAAGAACAGCAACAGAAACAUGGACAAAUUCCAACUUUUUUCCAUGUC
Molecule: non-coding RNA, 122 nt
Filed under: Aulacoseira subarctica
Lineage: Eukaryota; Bacillariophyta; Melosirophyceae; Melosirales; Aulacoseiraceae
Source: RNAcentral